AGUUUGAUCCUGGCUCAAAUUGAACGCUGGCGGCAGGCCUAACACAUGCAAGUCGAGCGGUAGCACAGAGAGCUUGCUCUCGGGUGACGAGCGGCGGACGGGUGAGUAAUGUCUGGGAAACUGCCUGAUGGAGGGGGAUAACUACUGGAAACGGUAGCUAAUACCGCAUAACGUCGCAAGACCAAAGUGGGGGACCUUCGGGCCUCAUGCCAUCAGAUGUGCCCAGAUGGGAUUAGCUAGUAGGUGGGGUAACGGCUCACCUAGGCGACGAUCCCUAGCUGGUCUGAGAGGAUGACCAGCCACACUGGAACUGAGACACGGUCCAGACUCCUACGGGAGGCAGCAGUGGGGAAUAUUGCACAAUGGGCGCAAGCCUGAUGCAGCCAUGCCGCGUGUGUGAAGAAGGCCUUCGGGUUGUAAAGCACUUUCAGCGGGGAGGAAGGCGGUGAGGUUAAUAACCUCAUCGAUUGACGUUACCCGCAGAAGAAGCACCGGCUAACUCCGUGCCAGCAGCCGCGGUAAUACGGAGGGUGCAAGCGUUAAUCGGAAUUACUGGGCGUAAAGCGCACGCAGGCGGUCUGUCAAGUCGGAUGUGAAAUCCCCGGGCUCAACCUGGGAACUGCAUUCGAAACUGGCAGGCUAGAGUCUUGUAGAGGGGGGUAGAAUUCCAGGUGUAGCGGUGAAAUGCGUAGAGAUCUGGAGGAAUACCGGUGGCGAAGGCGGCCCCCUGGACAAAGACUGACGCUCAGGUGCGAAAGCGUGGGGAGCAAACAGGAUUAGAUACCCUGGUAGUCCACGCUGUAAACGAUGUCGAUUUGGAGGUUGUGCCCUUGAGGCGUGGCUUCCGGAGCUAACGCGUUAAAUCGACCGCCUGGGAGUACGGCCGCAAGGGUAAAACUCAAAUGAAUUGACGGGGGCCCGCACAAGCGGUGGAGCAUGUGGUUUAAUUCGAUGCAACGCGAAGAACCUUACCUGGUCUUGACAUCCACAGAACUUUCCAGAGAUGGAUUGGUGCCUUCGGGAACUGUGAGACAGGUGCUGCAUGGCUGUCGUCAGCUCGUGUUGUGAAAUGUUGGGUUAAGUCCCGCAACGAGCGCAACCCUUAUCCUUUGUUGCCAGCGGUUAGGCCGGGAACUCAAAGGAGACUGCCAGUGAUAAACUGGAGGAAGGUGGGGAUGACGUCAAGUCAUCAUGGCCCUUACGACCAGGGCUACACACGUGCUACAAUGGCAUAUACAAAGAGAAGCGACCUCGCGAGAGCAAGCGGACCUCAUAAAGUAUGUCGUAGUCCGGAUUGGAGUCUGCAACUCGACUCCAUGAAGUCGGAAUCGCUAGUAAUCGUAGAUCAGAAUGCUACGGUGAAUACGUUCCCGGGCCUUGUACACACCGCCCGUCACACCAUGGGAGUGGGUUGCAAAAGAAGUAGGUAGCUUAACCUUCGGGAGGGCGCUUACCACUUUGUGAUUCAUGACUGGGGUGAAGUCGUAACAAGGUAACCGUAGGGGAACCUGCGGCUGGAUCACCUCCUUA
RNAcentral lists this ribosomal RNA (1530 nucleotides) under Klebsiella sp. PN2. RNAcentral's name for it is "16S ribosomal RNA". It matches the Rfam family "Bacterial small subunit ribosomal RNA". The record is from RNAcentral. Lineage: Bacteria; Pseudomonadati; Pseudomonadota; Gammaproteobacteria; Enterobacterales; Enterobacteriaceae.